AACGCGAAGAACCUUACCAGGCCUUGACAUCCCGUGCUACGUCCAGAGAUGGGCGGUCCCCGCAAGGGGCGCGGAGACAGGUGCUGCAUGGCUGUCGUCAGCUCGUGUCGUGAGAUGUUGGGUUAAGUCCCGCAACGAGCGCAACCCUCGCCUUUAGUUGCCAUCAUUCAGUUGGGCACUCUAAAGGGACCGCCGGCGACAAGCCGGAGGAAGGUGGGGAUGACGUCAAGUCCUCAUGGCCCUUACGGCCUGGGCUACACACGUGCUACAAUGGCGGUGACAGUGGGCAGCGACCACGCGAGUGGAUGCGAAUCCCAAAAAACCGUCCCAGUUCAGAUUGCACUCUGCAACUCGGGUGCAUGAAGGUGGAAUCGCUAGUAAUCGCAGAACAGCAGGCUGCGGUGAAUACGUUCCCGGGCCUUGUA
Molecule: ribosomal RNA, 425 nt
Filed under: uncultured Alphaproteobacteria bacterium
Lineage: Bacteria; Pseudomonadati; Pseudomonadota; Alphaproteobacteria
Description: bacterial SSU rRNA
Rfam family: Bacterial small subunit ribosomal RNA
Source: RNAcentral